Long non-coding RNA from Salvelinus fontinalis (brook trout), 703 nucleotides. RefSeq lists it as uncharacterized. The transcript has 3 exons. The record is from RefSeq and is a predicted model, not a curated record. Lineage: Eukaryota; Metazoa; Chordata; Actinopteri; Salmoniformes; Salmonidae.
ACUAGAUGUCAACAGUCUUUAGAAAUUGGUUUAUAUUUUUCUUUAGAGAAAUGAAGAAGUAGCCCUGUUAUUUUCCUGUGUCACUCCAGGUUCACUUUAUUGAUUUGGUGCGCAUGACCUAGAACAUGCUUUCUUUAUUUUCGUCCGGUGUUGAACGCUGCUUAUCCCGUCUUCAAUUUGAUCGAUUAUUUAGGUCAAAAAAUACCUAAUGUUGUAUUACGAAAGUUGUUUGAAAUGUGUGGACAAAGAUUACAGGUCAUUUAAGAUUUUGUAGCGUGAGUUGGAACCGUUGUUUUUCUGGAUCAAACGAGCCAAAUAAAUGGACAUUUUGGAUAUAUAACGAAGGAAUUAAUCAAACAAAAGGACCAUUUGUGAUGUUUAUGGGACAUAUUGGAGUGCCAACAGAAGAAGCUCGUGAAAGAUCUAGAGAACCAGUGCAAAGCGUUCAGGGUGAACGCGGCGGACGCCAUGCCUGGCAGUGACUGGACACCGUUUGUGAAGAACCACUCCUACCUACAUCGUGAUUGUAGGAGGGGGCGUGGUGGGCUGGUCCAUCGUCUACUGGCUGAAGCAGAAGAUAAUUCUGGACGGGGUGCUGGUGGUGGAGAGGGAUCCCACUGUUUUAGGUACGCCACGAACACAAUGACUACUGCAGAAGGUGACAAUGUGGAUUUCAGAAGAAUCAAAUAUGCUAAUGCAGGUA